GAGACAAGGACGAGUCAGAGGUGAAGUAACACAAUGAUCACUAACUCGGUCUGAGAGGACCUUCGUGGAGGUCGUCUGCAGCUGCAGAGCUCACAGAAGUCCUUUCAUAACAAAAUCUCUUUUUCUACCAAGAGAGGACAGAAAGCCCAGAGAGCGUCUCAAACAGACAACGAAGCCUCGGCAGGUCGUCCUCGCUGAGAGCACUGUGUGUUGUUUCAGGCUUCAAAUACUCGAUUAGUUGAGUCGAGGGUGAAAUGAUUGAUCAGCUAAUUACACAAUCAAAGUCCCAGCAUGGACUAAAACACAAACCAGCUGCUACCUUCUUCUUCUUCUCUGGCUUAUUUCAGUUUUUUUCAGAUAUUUGCAGAUUCGGAUUUUCUAAGAAAACUCACUGACAGCAGAUAAAAAAACAAACUCAGUUUUCCUUCAAUGCAAAAAGUUUUGAUUGUAAAAGAAAAGAUUAAACUUCACAAGCUGCAGGUUGUUUUCUCCCUGAGAUCACUGAUAAUGAGGAACUGACAGAUCUGACCAAACAAAAGAAGCUGCAACAGACUUUGUAUUAAAUACAUUUCAGGUAUUUUCAUUAUUUUCUGGCACAUUUAGCAGGACAUCCAUCCGUGUUUUCCCUUUUUGUCUCCCUCCCAACUGUUUCGUUGCUCAUACCGAGGCUACUAGCUUGUAGGUGGCUCUCAGCCCUACUUUAGCAUUAGCUUCUUUUGAAUGUCCAUGUCAGCUGUGUGAAGGUGAUUCAAGCGCCUCAUCUGGUUUGUUGUUACGGACGUUUCCAUGGCGUUUCCUCCCGUUUAGCGAAUGUUCUCUUUACUGGCAGCGAGGAGCUUCCACGCUAACAGCGUGUUAGCAUGUAGUUGUAAGUGUGUGACUUUUUACCUGCACUGCUGUGUGUGUGCUCAAUAUCAGACGUACGUGAGGCUGACCGAGUGGUGACCAAUCAGGACCGAUUCUGGUCCCAGUGGGUUGAUCGGUGCACUCUUCAAACCCUGCAGACGCUGCGUGGACCAAACUGUCAGGUCACUUCCUGCCAUCUCACAGCGCUCUACUAUCCUCCCCCCAGUAUGAACCUGCUCCUACUUCCUCAGGGACAUUUCUUUCUGUCAGUACUGUGGCGCUUAUGACUAACGACCUUAAUAAGACUGAUAUUCAUGAUUCAGAAAGUCACUGAGUCUGCAUCAAUGAGCCUUUAUUUCUGACAAAGAGGACUCAAACCUCACGCCUGCGUCUCUGGACGCAGUCACGGAGGCGCUGGCUGACAUUUUAGCUGCCUGGUGGCCCAGAAACAACCAGACAGGUGAAUAAAAGGAAAAGCUGGACCCGGUGGGGGGGUCCCACGGUUAUGAAAGACGAGUGGAGGUGUCCCACUGACCUGGACUGAAAUAAAAGGAAGCAGGCAGGAGGUGUCCGAGCUGAUAACCUGACCGAGUGACCCGAUUCACUGAAUCAGAGUUACACAAGCAGCCAGAAGGAACCGAGGAAACCACGAUGAGGAGGCGAUAAGAGGAAAACAGAGAGAGGAGGCAGGAGAAAUCGAAUAAACACUGAAGAAGAAGAAGAAGAGCUGGGGGGUUAAAUUAGCGCUGAGAGGAGAAGAAAAGGAAAGAUGACAGUAAUAAAGGGCACAAGGAAAGAUGGAAGACAGCAAAGAAGGAAAGAUAGAAAGAGAAAUGGAACAAAAAAAAUUAGAAAGACAAAGGGAAAGACAGAUGACGGGGAAAGACUUAAGGAAAGUCAGAAAUAAGGAAAAUGGAAAAUAAGGAAAGAAAAGUUGGACAGGAAGGAAAGAAAGAGAAACGUAAGGCUCAGAGGAAGUGAACAGGAAAAUGUAAAGGAAGGAAAGACGGAGACUGAUGGAUGGAAAUAAGGAGUGAGAGGAGGAGAAAUCUGCAGGAAGGAAAGGUUGUGAGGAAGGAGAGUUAAAAUAGAAAAGACACGUACAAGAUGAAAAAGGAAAGAACAAAAAAGAAAAAAGAAAUAGGAAUAAUUAAAAAAGGAAGUAAAAAGAAUCAUAGAGGAAAAGGAAGGAUAAAAGGAUGGAAAGGAUAAUAUGAGGAAGGAGAGAGGAAACAAGGAUGAGAGUUAGAAAAAAGAGAAAAGAUGAGGAAAAACGAGGAAAUGAGAUCAGGAAGUGCUGUAACGUGUGACCUACUCUUCUUUGUUGGUGUCUUUGUGGAAGUUGAUCAGAUGAUUGUUGAUAACGAGCACAAAGUGACCUCACACACGGUCUUCAUUUCAUAACGCCGCCGCCUCACCGCCGCUCACUGCGGGCGACCAUUAACAGGAAGUAACUGCUGUCCUACCUGCACUGAAGUGGGUCAAGCUGGACCGCUGAGUGUGAGAGUGUGUGUGUGUGUGUGUGUGUGUGUAACCUGGACUAAUGGGCUCUGCUCUCAGCUGGAUCAUUAUGUGACAGACUGAGGUGUCGGGGUCGCAGUCACAGUCUAUUGACACACACACACACACACACAUGCACACACACACAAACAGACACGCACACACACACACACACACACAAACAGACACGCACACACACACACGCACACACACACACACGCACACACACAAACAGACACACACACACACACACACACUCACACACACACACACACACACACUAACCUGUAAACAUAUCACAUAUACUGUGCACACACACGUGAGCUGUCCUGACGGGUCAAACUGAGCCGUGUGUUUGAUUCAGACGUAAACACUAAACUCACAGAGUUCACCAAGUUUAUCUUGCCACUGAACCACCCUGUUCAGGUAAGGACACACACACACACACACUGAUGUAAAUUCACACACACAGUAAUGAAACAUACAGAUGAAGGCUGCUUGUUUCUAUAGCGACCACUUUACCAGCUCACACUGAGCAGAUUGACUCGUUAGGACGGCCACCGCGUCGCUAACGAACAGCAGGCUCUCAAUUAUCAUCAAACACACAGGUUUGUGAUUCAGCUGCCGUUGUGGGGACCCUGAGCACCAUAAUAAUAAUAAUAAUAAUGAUGAUGAUAAUAAUAAUAAUAAUAACAGUAGGAACUUGUUACCUUCACCCCAAAAUCCCUCACCCCUGACCUAAACAUGCCCCUAAAUCCUGAAAUAAAACCUUCAGCCUGCAUAUUUGACAUCAAAACACCUGAACAUGUUUGUUUUUCCACUGUGGAACAGAAAACAUCACAGGUCGUCACAGCCUGUGGAGCUGGCAGCUGGCACAUCUGGAAAAGCUCCAUCAGUGCUGAAAGUCAACACUGAUGAAAGGAUCUGAUUUCAAACCCACACCAGCAGCGAGCGCAUCUCUUACUUCUUACUCUGUGAUCUCCACUCAAAGCUCAUUGGUUCCUGCUUUUAAAGGUCGGAUGAGUGCAGCAGGCGUGACUCACCUGUUUGACCUUGCUGAGCUCCUCCUCCAUCUGAUGGUGGACUCUCUGAGACUCGACCAGCUGCUCCUGCA
Molecule: long non-coding RNA, 3460 nt
Organism: Pelmatolapia mariae (spotted tilapia)
Lineage: Eukaryota; Metazoa; Chordata; Actinopteri; Cichliformes; Cichlidae
Exons: 3
Source: RefSeq, a predicted model, not a curated record